Molecule: long non-coding RNA, 589 nt
Organism: Hemicordylus capensis (graceful crag lizard)
Lineage: Eukaryota; Metazoa; Chordata; Lepidosauria; Squamata; Cordylidae
Exons: 4
Source: RefSeq, a predicted model, not a curated record
AGAAAGGAAGAACUAGCGCGGGGGUCAAAGUUCAAAGAGUGCCGUCAGGAGCCGGAAGUGUGAUUACGUCUCCUUCGUUCUGUUCCUGGAAACGAAAGAAUGUUAAUUUGGGCGCUGCCAUCUUGUACGGCAGGGGAGGAGUAGAAGGUUUUGAAUUGUUUCAGGAUGGAGGAAAUGUAAAAGAUCACAGGUGGUCACCACUAACAUGGAGAUAAGUCUUUAAGAGGCUGGUACAAAUUCUCUUGCAGUGGAUCAUAUGUGCAUCUCAAGAUGGGGUCAAGUUUGAAGGACUUCAACAUUUGUCUGGACACUGUAAGCUGCAUUUUCAGACAUCAUGCAGACUUCAUCUGAUUUAAUUUAACUACUUCCAAAAUGGACCAGAGACGUUAAAAGAAUCCAGAGUUCAUUUCCACUUCAAUGGAGCUUGUUCGACAAACAAAAUUAUUUUGUAGCAAGGAGGAAAACAGUUUAGCAGAAUGCAGCCCUCACGUAUACCGUACAUAACAUCACAUUUGGGCUGAAACUUUUUCUGUCAAAAAAUGUCAUAACCCCGUAAGAAAGAGAAUUAAAAUCCUGUUAUUUUAAUUUA